CCUACGGGUGGCUGCAGUGGGGAAUAUUGGACAAUGGGGGGAACCCUGAUCCAGCCAUGCCGCGUGUGUGAAGAAGGCCCUCGGGUUGUAAAGCACUUUCAGUGAGGAAGAACGCCUGGUGGUUAAUACCCAUCAGGAAAGACAUCACUCACAGAAGAAGCACCGGCUAACUCCGUGCCAGCAGCCGCGGUAAUACGGAGGGUGCGAGCGUUAAUCGGAAUUACUGGGCGUAAAGCGCGCGUAGGUGGCUUGAUAAGCCGGUUGUGAAAGCCCCGGGCUCAACCUGGGAACGGCAUCCGGAACUGUCAAGCUAGAGUGCAGGAGAGGAAGGUAGAAUUCCCGGUGUAGCGGUGAAAUGCGUAGAGAUCGGGAGGAAUACCAGUGGCGAAGGCGGCCUUCUGGACUGACACUGACACUGAGGUGUGAAAGCGUGGGUAGCAAACAGGAUUAGAUACCCUAGUAGUC
RNAcentral lists this ribosomal RNA (465 nucleotides) under Vreelandella stevensii. Its description in RNAcentral is "partial 16S ribosomal RNA". It matches the Rfam family "Bacterial small subunit ribosomal RNA", at positions 338 to 795 of the family's 1533-position model. The record is from RNAcentral. Lineage: Bacteria; Pseudomonadati; Pseudomonadota; Gammaproteobacteria; Oceanospirillales; Halomonadaceae.